GAACAGAUCUUGAUGAUGCUAGGCAAGUUCCGAGGCAGAUGGUUUUGCAUAUACAGUACGUAUGGAUUUGACAGACACACUGUAUCACCGUGGCAACUGGGGAUAUACUGAACACACCUAUGCACUCAACGUUCUGUGACGUCGAUGUACUGUACAGUGGGUUCGGACGAAAUCUACAGGUGCCCCAGAUAGAUGAAUGCUCUUGGAUAACAUGCAGCAGACCGACAAAAGCUCCCAUUUCUUUUAUUUUUAGGUGACUAAUUACUGCACAUGGUCUCUAGACAUGUCCACCUUAAACAACAAUGACUGGAAAUCUGUGGAUCAGCUGUUGAUAAA
Molecule: long non-coding RNA, 336 nt
Filed under: Lepisosteus oculatus (spotted gar)
Lineage: Eukaryota; Metazoa; Chordata; Actinopteri; Semionotiformes; Lepisosteidae
Description: lncRNA (ENSLOCG00000022921.1)
Source: RNAcentral